UCACGAAUGCUCGAGUGGUCCAAGGGGAUAGACUCAAGUUCUACUAUGCAGUGCACGCGCGGGUUCGAAUCCCGCUUCGUGUA
Transfer RNA from Gregarina niphandrodes, 83 nucleotides. It matches the Rfam family "tRNA". Rfam says of the family: Transfer RNA (tRNA) molecules are approximately 80 nucleotides in length. Their secondary structure includes four short double-helical elements and three loops (D, anti-codon, and T loops). Further hydrogen bonds mediate the characteristic L-shaped molecular structure. tRNAs have two regions of fundamental functional importance: the anti-codon, which is responsible for specific mRNA codon recognition, and the 3' end, to which the tRNAs corresponding amino acid is attached (by aminoacyl-tRNA synthetases). tRNAs cope with the degeneracy of the genetic code in two manners: having more than one tRNA (with a specific anti-codon) for a particular amino acid; and 'wobble' base-pairing, i.e. permitting non-standard base-pairing at the 3rd anti-codon position. Lineage: Eukaryota; Apicomplexa; Conoidasida; Eugregarinorida; Gregarinidae. The record is from Rfam.